This 74-nucleotide transfer RNA is filed under the name Myotis davidii. It matches the Rfam family "tRNA". From Rfam's summary of the family: Transfer RNA (tRNA) molecules are approximately 80 nucleotides in length. The record is from Rfam by way of RNAcentral. Lineage: Eukaryota; Metazoa; Chordata; Mammalia; Chiroptera; Vespertilionidae.
GGGCAGGUGGCUCAAUUGGUUGGAGUAUUGUCUUGUACACCAAAAGGUUGCAGGUUCAAUUCCUGGUCAGGCCA